Molecule: long non-coding RNA, 456 nt
Filed under: Physcomitrium patens
Lineage: Eukaryota; Viridiplantae; Streptophyta; Bryopsida; Funariales; Funariaceae
Description: long non-coding RNA (PPAT_LNC000916)
Source: RNAcentral
UAUAGGAUUUAUAAUUUAUUGUGUUAAGUUGUCAAUUACAACUAUUUUUGAUUUCAUGUUUUUAUGUAUAAAUUUGUAAUCCAUCUUGUUCGUAUUUAUAAUACCACCUAGCAUAUUUUAUUUUAAAAACAUGUAUGUUAUAGCCAUUCUUAGAAUAAGAUUUUCUAAACCUUCCAAGUAUUUUUCAUUUCUUUAAUAGUAGUAGAGGUUAGUAUGUUCUAACAACUGCCACUUUAUUCAUCUUUUUAUGCAUUUGGUAUAUUCAUCAAGUUUUUUUUAAAUGUAUGCAAUUAUUGUGGCUAAGAAUUUGUAUUCAAACAAUAGAUUGUAUGCAUUCUCUAUCUUAUUUGUAAACAUUUAGUAUUGAUCUAUAUUCUAAAGCCUAAUUUUGUAUCACAUUACGUAUAUAUAUGUAUAAACUUAAAUUUUUACUUUACAUUGAAUUUUGUACAAAAA